Molecule: long non-coding RNA, 1124 nt
Filed under: Phasianus colchicus (ring-necked pheasant)
Lineage: Eukaryota; Metazoa; Chordata; Aves; Galliformes; Phasianidae
Description: lncRNA (ENSPCLG00000010617.1)
Source: RNAcentral
AUGCUUGUGCUGCUCAGCUGUCAUUGCAUCCUGCAAGGCACUGACACUCAUUUCCAGCCCUGGAUUCCCUGCAGCAGCAGAAGCCACAAAGUCCUAUUGCAGAAGAGGAUAAAUCCCUCCCAACCUUACUGGCCAGGAUGCUCCAGGUCCAUGCACAUCACUCAGCAAUACACACAACAAAUCACUCCCCAUGACUUGCUGCCACUUCCAAAGACACACACCCAGACAGUAUCCCAUGGGAGAGGAUUUCAGUUUCCAACAGCUUGCAGAAAGCAACAGAGCUGAAAGAAGUAAAGAAACUACAGCAGAAACAGGACUUCCUAAGAUGCUACAUACUUCUUCUUUUAACUUGAAGCUGUUUCCUGGAAGAAGAGUGGACUUUACACAAAAGAACUGCAGUAUUGUUUUAAGUACCAGCUUCAUUGGUUGAUCUGCUGAAUGCCACUCAACAAACCUUUGCAACACAUUAAAAACAAGAGAAAAAUCAGAGAAAGAGGCAAAACAGCUAUUGCCAGAGCUAGUCUGCAAACACAAUCUGUCCCCCUCAGCACCAACAAACAAUGGGGAUACUUCUACAGAAUCCCUCUUAUGAAACACUUUCACAAUUAACCACUGGGAAACACAACUGAGAAUUUCUGCUGUUUGUGGCACAUUGGGGUGAGUAGAAGCAACUCUUUCCUUGCUUUCAUUUCUGUAAAUGAAAAACCAAUAUCCUUACUGCCUGAUGCUUUCUGUUUUGGUUCUGUUUGUUUGGUGGCCAAAGCCACCAGGAUCUCCACAGGUCCCUUUUGGGGUGCAGAGGCAGCAGCAUGCAGGGCUGCUUCUCGCUGAAAAGAGGGAGAGUUGCAAAGGUUCCUACUGCAAAACCCACCCAUCAAAUGGCUUUUAUCCAUACAAACAACAGGAUGGUAAUUUUGGAAAAGGGGUAUUAGAAAAAAAAAAAAUCACUAAGAAGCUAUGAGGACAAGAAAUAACAGUUAUCUACAUGUGGGAAAAUUAUUUAGCAUCCUGUGAAGAUGGAAAUACUGGGGUAGAUUUAUUCUGUAACUCCUGCAGUCACUCACACAGAUUUGCACUAAUUCAUCAAGCUGUCAUGGUUUUGCAGUGACAAGAACAGGGCAGUC